Astatotilapia calliptera (eastern happy) is the source of this 1135-nucleotide long non-coding RNA. Lineage: Eukaryota; Metazoa; Chordata; Actinopteri; Cichliformes; Cichlidae. The record is from Ensembl.
AUUUAGCAAUACCUGGGCGGUACCAAAUAUAUUAGGGUUAGCCCUUGUUGCAUUUUAAACACAUGCUAAAGAAGAAUAAACCCAAAUGGAAUAUGUCCAAAUGCCGGGAAGACAGUACUGACAACGACAGCCUGCUUAAUAAGCUGUUGGUCUGUUACAUGUCAGACCCACUGAAGAAAUAAUAUCUACGUGUGAUGUGAGAGACAGCAUGGUUAGGGUUCAAUUGGUGGUUCAAUUCCUGUCUUCUGCGGUCUGCAUGUCAAGUAUCCGUGGGCAAGUUGUUUUUUUUUUGUUUUGUUUUUUUGUUUUUUUUUUGUUCAUCUUUUUUAUUAUUUUUUGUGCAUAGAUUUAUAUAUUUUUCUGUACACUUUCAGGAAGGUCAUCAACAUUAAAGUUUAUUUUGAUGGACAGUAAUGGAUGAUGUUUACAAUCUAAUAGGAAAAUUCAGUUAAAACUAGUUUUAAUUGUGCUUUAUAUAUUCUGUUGUCUAGUGCCAACAGAAGCCCAUCCACAGCAUGUUAACUCUCUACAUAGUAGAAUAGCAGCUGUUACAACCAGAAAUUCUAUAUUAAAAAUGGAUGUAGACACUAUAACAUUGUUUGUUCAUUUAUUUACUACCAAUCUAAAGCCCGCAGUACAGGAUUUUGGCUCUUGACAUAUUGGGUGUGUUUGCUUUAGAAGGUGGAGCUUAUGAGCUAGCACUGUCACAGUGAGCAAGAUGCUUUAUUUAUUUAUUUAUUUAUUUUUUUUUUUUUUUUUUGGGGGGGGGCAAGUUGUUAACCCCAUGUUGCUCUCCGAUGAAGUGCUAAGCACCAAGAAGAAAGAGAUUUCGAACAGUUACUUGUCCUGGUGAAUCUGAUACUUUAAACAACGUUUAAAAACUUGUGUUUUUGUUGUUCAUGUUUGUGCCUUGUGUACGUCAUGUACUUCGCGUUCACAGUUAGUUGAUAUGCUACAGAUUUUCUGUUAUUAAAAUCCAGCUUUAACAUUAAAGUGGGUAUGAUCCAGUAUUAUCAUGGUUACAAUUAUGUAAAAUAAGUAAAAGAACUGGUUAAGAAAAUAAAGAGUCAAACUUACAAAAUCUGUGUCAUUAUCCAAAUAGUAUCACAUUCAUUUUCAUUACACAUUACAAGGC